AACGAACGCUGGCGGCAUGCCUAACACAUGCAAGUCGAACGAGACCUUCGGGUCUAGUGGCGCACGGGUGCGUAACGCGUGGGAACCUGCCUUUAGGUUCGGAAUAACUCACCGAAAGGU
Molecule: ribosomal RNA, 120 nt
Filed under: uncultured bacterium
Lineage: Bacteria
Description: partial 16S ribosomal RNA
Rfam family: Bacterial small subunit ribosomal RNA
Source: RNAcentral